Molecule: long non-coding RNA, 447 nt
Filed under: Hordeum vulgare
Lineage: Eukaryota; Viridiplantae; Streptophyta; Magnoliopsida; Poales; Poaceae
Description: long non-coding RNA (HVUL_LNC014954)
Source: RNAcentral
UGUCUAUUACAAUCUUUACACUACACCACAACCCAGAUAUACCUACUACUGCCUAAUAUUACAAUACAUAUACUACUCUUUGUUGAUACGCUUCAUAGCUUCACACUUGGCUUUGUACUUCACCUAUGCAAAAAAAUAAGAAUAAGAUGUGAACUAACACUACAGGUAUUUAAAUAACAGCAUUUACAAAAAAGUGUGAACUAACACUACAGGUUGUCAUAUACAAAAAUAGUAGGUUGUUCAAGUGCAGAUGAGUUCGACUUCAAAAGCUAAAAUUGCAUCGACUACUGUCUACGACAGUUAAAAUAUACAAGAAAUUUGUUCAUAUACAAGAAAAGUAGGUUGUCUGCUUCCAGUGGCACCAAGUAUAAACUGAAAAAACAUGUUCGGACGACCAGCUAAUAAUUAGUGGAACAUGAGAGCACUGGUUCAUCUCAAAUACAAAAA